RNAcentral lists this ribosomal RNA (426 nucleotides) under uncultured bacterium. Its description in RNAcentral is "bacterial SSU rRNA". It matches the Rfam family "Bacterial small subunit ribosomal RNA", at positions 354 to 796 of the family's 1533-position model. The record is from RNAcentral.
GUGAGGAAUUUUCCGCAAUGGGCGAAAGCCUGACGGAGCAAUGUCGCGUGAAGGAUGAAGGCCUAUGGGUUGUAAACUUCUUUUCUCAGAAAAGAAUUAUGACGGUAUCUGAGGAAUAAGCAUCGGCUAACUCUGUGCCAGCAGCCGCGGUAAGACAGAGGAUGCAAGCGUUAUCCGGAAUGAUUGGGCGUAAAGCGUCUGUAGGUUGUUUAAAAAGUAUUCUGUCAAAGAUUAGGGCUUAACCCUAGAUAGGCAGAAUAAACUUUUAAGCUAGAGUUUGGUAGAGGCAGAGGGAAUUCCUGGUGGAGCGGUGAAAUGCGUAGAUAUCGGGAGGAACACCAAAGGCGAAGGCACUCUGCUGGGCCAAUACUAACACUGAGAGACGAAAGCGAGGGGAGCAAAUGGGAUUAGAAACCCGAGUAGUCC